ACCACCGGGAUGUUCAUAACCCUUUGUUGUCCGACUCUGUUGCCUCCGGGGCGACCCUGCCUUCGGGCGGGGGCUCCGGGUGGACACUUCAAACUCUUGCGUAACUUUGCAGUCUGAGUAAACUUAAUUAAUAAAUUAAAACUUUUAACAACGGAUCUCUUGGUUCUGGCAUCGAUGAAGAACGCAGCGAAAUGCGAUAAGUAAUGUGAAUUGCAGAAUUCAGUGAAUCAUCGAAUCUUUGAACGCACAUUGCGCCCCCUGGUAUUCCGGGGGGCAUGCCUGUUCGAGCGUCAUUUCACCACUCAAGCCUCGCUUGGUAUUGGGCAACGCGGUCCGCCGCGUGCCUCAAAUCGACCGGCUGGGUCUUCUGUCCCCUAAGCGUUGUGGAAACUAUUCGCUAAAGGGUGUUCGGGAGGCUACGCCGUAAAACAACCCCAUUUCUAAGGUUGACCUCGGAUCAGGUAGGGAUACCCGCUGAACUUAAGCAUAUCAAUAAGCGGAGGAA
RNAcentral lists this ribosomal RNA (505 nucleotides) under Cladosporium uredinicola. Its description in RNAcentral is "eukaryotic LSU rRNA". The stretch from base 140 to 293 matches the Rfam family "5.8S ribosomal RNA". Lineage: Eukaryota; Fungi; Ascomycota; Dothideomycetes; Cladosporiales; Cladosporiaceae. The record is from RNAcentral.